UACGUAGGGUGCAAGCGUUGUCCGGAUUCAUUGGGCGUAAAGAGCUCGUAGGCGGCUUUGUAAGUCGGGUGUGAAAACCCCAGGCUCAACCUGGGGACGCCACUCGAUACUGCAAUAGCUAGAGUUUGGUAGGGGAUCACGGAAUUCCUGGUGUAGCGGUGAAAUGCGCAGAUAUCAGGAGGAACACCAGUGGCGAAGGCGGUGAUCUGGGCCAAUACUGACGCUGAGGAGCGAAAGCGUGGGGAGCAAACAGG
This 254-nucleotide ribosomal RNA is filed under the name uncultured bacterium. RNAcentral's name for it is "partial 16S ribosomal RNA". It matches the Rfam family "Bacterial small subunit ribosomal RNA", at positions 524 to 776 of the family's 1533-position model. The record is from RNAcentral.